CUACGGGGUGCUGCAGUGAGGAAUAUUGCACAAUGGGGGGAACCCUGAUGCAGCAACGCCGCGUGGAGGAUGACGCAUUUCGGUGUGUAAACUCCUUUUAUAUGUCAAGAAAAUGACGGUAGCAUAUGAAUAAGCACCGGCGUAACUCCGUGCCAGCAGCCGCGGUAAUACGGAGGGUGCAAGCGUUACUCGGAAUCACUGGGCGUAAAGGACGCGUAGGCGGGUUGGAAAGUCAGGUGUGAAAUCCUACAGCUUAACUGUAGAACUGCACUUGAAACUUCUAAUCUAGAGUAUGGGAGGGGGAGAUGGAAUUAGUGGUGUAGGGGUAAAAUCCGUAGAUAUCACUAGGAAUACCUAAAGCGAAGGCGAUCUCCUGGAACAUUACUGACGUUAAGGCGUGAAAGCGUGGGGAGCAAACAGGAUUAGAUACCCGUGUAGUC
This 440-nucleotide ribosomal RNA is filed under the name uncultured bacterium. RNAcentral's name for it is "partial 16S ribosomal RNA". It matches the Rfam family "Bacterial small subunit ribosomal RNA", at positions 339 to 795 of the family's 1533-position model. The record is from RNAcentral.